UACGGAGGAUGCGAGCGUUAUCCGGAUUUAUUGGGUUUAAAGGGUGCGUAGGCGGCUUAGUAAGUCAGCGGUGAAAUUUUGCAGCUUAACUGUAACAGUGCCGUUGAUACUGCCAGGCUAGGAUUUGGUUGCUGUGGGUGGAAUGUGUGGUGUAGCGGUGAAAUGCUUAGAUAUCACACAGAAUAUCGAUUGCGAAGGCAGCUCACAAAGCCAAGAUUGACGCUGAGGCACGAAAGUGUGGGGAUCAAA
RNAcentral lists this ribosomal RNA (249 nucleotides) under uncultured prokaryote. RNAcentral's name for it is "partial 16S ribosomal RNA". It matches the Rfam family "Bacterial small subunit ribosomal RNA", at positions 524 to 772 of the family's 1533-position model. The record is from RNAcentral.